This 518-nucleotide ribosomal RNA is filed under the name uncultured bacterium. RNAcentral describes it as "bacterial SSU rRNA". It matches the Rfam family "Bacterial small subunit ribosomal RNA", at positions 993 to 1509 of the family's 1533-position model. The record is from RNAcentral.
GAAUUUUAGCAGAGAUGCUUUAGUGCCUUCGGGAACUCUGAGACAGGUGCUGCAUGGCUGUCGUCAGCUCGUGUUGUGAAAUGUUGGGUUAAGUCCCGNAACGAGCGCAACCCUUAUCCUUUGUUGCCAGCACGUAAUGGUGGGAACUCAAAGGAGACUGCCGGUGAUAAACCGGAGGAAGGUGGGGAUGACGUCAAGUCAUCAUGGCCCUUACGAGUAGGGCUACACACGUGCUACAAUGGCGCAUACAAAGAGAAGCGACCUCGCGAGAGCAAGCGGACCUCAUAAAGUGCGUCGUAGUCCGGAUUGGAGUCUGCAACUCGACUCCAUGAAGUCGGAAUCGCUAGUAAUCGUAAAUCAGAAUGUUACGGUGAAUACGUUCCCGGGCCUUGUACACACCGCCCGUCACACCAUGGGAGUGGGUUGCAAAAGAAGUAGAUAGCUUAACCUUCGGGAGGGCGUUUACCACUUUGUGAUUCAUGACUGGGGUGAAGUCGUAACAAGGUAAGCGUAGUGCU